Molecule: ribosomal RNA, 406 nt
Filed under: uncultured bacterium
Lineage: Bacteria
Description: partial 16S ribosomal RNA
Rfam family: Bacterial small subunit ribosomal RNA
Source: RNAcentral
AUUGAACGCUGGCGGCAGGCCUAACACAUGCAAGUCGAACGAGUGGCGGACGGGUGAGUAAUGUCUGGGAAACUGCCCGAUGGAGGGGGAUAACUACUGGAAACGGUCGCUAAUACCGCAUACCAUCGGAUGUGCCCAGAUGGGAUUAGCUAGUGGGUGGGGUAACGGCUCACCUAGGCGACGAUCCCUAGCUGGGCUGAGAGGAUGACCAGCCACACUGGAACUUGAACACGGUCCAGACUCCUACGGUAGGCAGCAUUGGGGAAUAUUGCACAAUGGGCGCAAGCCUUAUACAGCCAUGCCGCGUGUAUUAAGAAGGCCUUCGGGUUGGAAAGUACUUUCAGCGAGGAGGCGUUACUCGCAGAAGAAGCACCGGCUAACUCCGUGCCAGCAGCCGCGGUAAUAC